This 429-nucleotide ribosomal RNA is filed under the name Chloroflexota bacterium. RNAcentral's name for it is "Chloroflexi bacterium partial 16S ribosomal RNA". It matches the Rfam family "Bacterial small subunit ribosomal RNA", at positions 355 to 776 of the family's 1533-position model. Lineage: Bacteria; Bacillati; Chloroflexota. The record is from RNAcentral.
UGGGGAAUAUUGCACAAUGGGCGCAAGCCUGAUGCAGCCAUGCCGCGUGUAUGAAGAAGGCCUUCGGGUUGUAAAGUACUUUCAGUCGGGAGGAAGGUGGUAAGGUUAAUAACCUUAUCAAUUGACGUUACCGACAGAAGAAGCACCGGCUAACUCCGUGCCAGCAGCCGCGGUAAUACGGAGGGUGCAAGCGUUAAUCGGAAUUACUGGGCGUAAAGCGCACGCAGGCGGUUGAUUGAGUCAGAUGUGAAAUCCCCGGGCUUAACCCGGGAAUUGCAUCUGAUACUGGUCAGCUAGAGUCUUGUAGAGGGGGGUAGAAUUCCAUGUGUAGCGGUGAAAUGCGUAGAGAUUUGGAGGAAUACCGGUGGCGAAGGCGGCCCCCUGGACAAAGACUGACGCUCAGGUGCGAAAGCGUGGGGAGCAAACAGG